GGCUGGCACCCUAGUCGCUGAGCUGCAGGCACAGAACCACAGAAUGUUCUUUUUUUUUUUUUCUCCACUUCCACUGCUUUACUUGACUAGCCUUAA
Molecule: small RNA, 96 nt
Filed under: Otolemur garnettii (small-eared galago)
Lineage: Eukaryota; Metazoa; Chordata; Mammalia; Primates; Galagidae
Description: Y RNA (ENSOGAG00000023098.1)
Source: RNAcentral